CGGCAACGGGAUCUUCAACUCCGACGGGGAGACGUGGGUGGCGCAGCGGAAGACUCUGGCCGGGCGUGCACCGCUGAUUCUCUCCCACCGGCCGCCGCGCGCCGCUCCCUCCCACCGGUUCCGCGCGCCGCCGCUCCUCUCCCGCCCUCCCGCCGGUCGCCGACCCUCGGGCACCGCCGCUCCUCUCCCUCCUUCCUGCCGGCCGACGCACGUCGCCGCUCCUCUCCCAUCGGCCGGCCCGACGAGCUCACCUCCUUCCUCGCGGAGCUCCCGUCGGCCGCCCUCUCCGCCGGCGCGGCGCUUGCGUCGGUCGCCCUGUCCGCUGCACGCACACCGGAUGCAAUAGAGGAGAGGGCGUCCAGCACGUCGACCAGCAUCAAGGCGCGCAAGCUCGAGCUCGCAGCCGAAAGCGGCAAGGGCGACGCGUCGUCGCCGGCGGCGGCGUCCAUGCCGUUGUGCUGCUCCGCUGCUAGCAGCUAG
RNAcentral lists this long non-coding RNA (480 nucleotides) under Oryza sativa Indica Group (long-grained rice). RNAcentral describes it as "lncRNA OsZS97_04G015750". RNAcentral also lists the same sequence under 1 other name. Lineage: Eukaryota; Viridiplantae; Streptophyta; Magnoliopsida; Poales; Poaceae. The record is from RNAcentral.